GGCGGCGUGGUGCAAUGGGUAGCACUGGAGCCUCUGAAUCGCCCAAUCAGGGGUCGAUUCCCUGCGCGACCU
This 72-nucleotide transfer RNA is filed under the name Gregarina niphandrodes. It matches the Rfam family "tRNA". Rfam says of the family: Transfer RNA (tRNA) molecules are approximately 80 nucleotides in length. Their secondary structure includes four short double-helical elements and three loops (D, anti-codon, and T loops). Further hydrogen bonds mediate the characteristic L-shaped molecular structure. tRNAs have two regions of fundamental functional importance: the anti-codon, which is responsible for specific mRNA codon recognition, and the 3' end, to which the tRNAs corresponding amino acid is attached (by aminoacyl-tRNA synthetases). tRNAs cope with the degeneracy of the genetic code in two manners: having more than one tRNA (with a specific anti-codon) for a particular amino acid; and 'wobble' base-pairing, i.e. permitting non-standard base-pairing at the 3rd anti-codon position. The record is from Rfam by way of RNAcentral. Lineage: Eukaryota; Apicomplexa; Conoidasida; Eugregarinorida; Gregarinidae.